This 253-nucleotide ribosomal RNA is filed under the name uncultured bacterium. Its description in RNAcentral is "partial 16S ribosomal RNA". It matches the Rfam family "Bacterial small subunit ribosomal RNA", at positions 524 to 776 of the family's 1533-position model. The record is from RNAcentral.
UACGAAGGGGGCUAGCGUUGCUCGGAAUCACUGGGCGUAAAGCGCACGUAGGCGGAUUGUUAAGUCAGGGGUGAAAUCCUGGAGCUCAACUCCAGAACUGCCUUUGAUACUGGCGAUCUCGAGUCCGGGAGAGGUGAGUGGAACUGCGAGUGUAGAGGUGAAAUUCGUAGAUAUUCACAAGAACACCAGUGGCGAAGGCGGCUCACUGGCCCGGUACUGACGCUGAGGUGCGAAAGCGUGGGGAGCAAACAGG